This is a long non-coding RNA of Junco hyemalis (dark-eyed junco), 2326 nucleotides long. Lineage: Eukaryota; Metazoa; Chordata; Aves; Passeriformes; Passerellidae. The record is from Ensembl.
AUGACACUUGCGUGGGAAGAACGGCAAUAUUUCCUCAGUUACUCAACCGCAGGAGCUGCCUCCUGGCAGCAGUGCUCAGGAGGCGCCUCGGGGGCGAGGGCUGGUGCCCGGCAGCAGCUGUGCCCCGGGAUAUCGCACCGCUCCUCACAGCUGUGUCCCGGGACAGCGCACCGGCCCGGCCCGCCCCUCGGCAGCUGUGCCCCGGGAUAUCGCACCGCUCCUCACAACUGUGCCCCGGGACAGCGCACCGCUCCUCACAGCGGUGCCCCGGGACAGCGCACCGGCCCGGCCCGCUCCUCACAGCUGUGCCCGGAGCCUGCUGCUGCCCAGGGCUCCCUGCCGAACGCCGCGGGGAGCGGGCUCAGACCGCCAGCCCUGCUCCCUCGGGACUCUCUGGCUGGUUCCUGCAGGCCUCCGGGGAGCUCAAAAGCAGCAAUCAAACAUCCAGGUGAUCUCACUGCCAACACCAAUAAUUCUGGCUGUCUGCUGCGGCUUGAUGGCAGCUGCUCGUACCCAGCACGCAUCCACGGGACAAGCCGCGCCAGCUGCCAAGUCCUUUCCGACCCGUUUGCUAACAGCGGCUCAGAUUCAAGAGACAUAAGCCAGCCGCAAGACAGACACACAAGAAUUCCAGGCUACCCGGUUAUCCUAGACGGCUUUGUCGGGGAAGCCCGGUGCGUGGCAGCUCCAUCAUUAGAGCAGCGGAGCGGGUGAGCAUCGCCCCCGCCACCUCCCCGGCCCCGGCUCGCCAUGUGCCCCUCGCCACCCCCGAGCCCUGCCGGGGUCCGCUCCGGCCCCGCUGCCCCGGCACUCACCUCGGCUCGGCGCGUCUCAGCCCGGCGCGGCCCCGCGGCGCCUUAAAGCGCCGGGGCGGAGCCAGAGGGGCCGGGCCCCGCGUCCCUCGGCCCGGCCGGCUCAGCGCGGGCAGCGGGGCCCGGCCCUGCUGGGGCCGCCCCGGGGGCAGCGGGACAUGGCCCAGCUGCAGCCUCGGACCGCAGCGCCCCGGCUUGCGGUUUCACCCAGUUUUAGGGUUUUGCUUGACCUACUUGCCGGCUCCGUGACGGAGUUUCCCCAGAGCACAGGGAAAGGAUGCUGGGGUCGGGAAAGCGGUUUCCCAGGACGUGAGGAGCGGGCGCAGGCAGGAGCCUGUGCCCGGCUCGUGGGAGCCUCGGGGACUCGGCACCGCAGCUCCCGCUGAACCACUGCUCCAGUGGGGACUGAUGAGGAGGGGCCACAAUAUUUUCUCAAGAGGCCGGCAAUUAGGGCUGUCUACAGCAUGCUGGAGAAAACUGCCCGAGGCUUCAGCUGCUUUUUGUGAGCGUCCCAGUUUCCCAGGGCUGUUGCCCACUGACUGUGUCGGUUUCAGGAUUAUGCGCAGGGCUCCCUAUGCCUAGCGGGAGAUGUGGGUUUAUCCCCUGCUCGUUAUUAACCCAAUACCAAGUCACCUACUCGUUGCCCACAGGAAUGCCAGGCAGCACGGGGGCCGCCUUUUCACACGCACCGGGGAUGGAGCCCCAGGAAUGAGGCCCAGCGAGCUUGGCGGAGGCAGCACGCAGGAGCCCUCCUGCCCAGGCGCUGUGCAGUGAGGUGGGCUGUGUCCUCGCUGGGGUGGGAGAGAUCCCGCCGAGCUGCGGGCACAGACGCUGGGUGACAUGCCGCUGGGCCCAAACUGCCUGUACUGUGAGGUGACUGAAAAUUACCUCCACCCCAGGUCAGAGAGUACAAGGGUUACUCUUCUCCGCCUUAAAAUGUACUUUCCAUGUACUGCAGCCUGCAUGCUGGCAGCUGCAACUUGCUGAGAUGUUUUGCUUUCCAUUUUUUAAUUUUCUUUUUUUUAUUUGUAAAGAAUCUUGAGUGACCAGACUGUGCAUGAUUUAUGUGCAUCUCAGAGUCCUGCUCCAUAAGCAAAGCCAGUAUCUGUUCCUGUGGAACAAGCUGGUGUUCAUUGUGAGCAAAACCAAGAGUCUGACCUCAAGCAUCACAGCAAAAACUUUAUGCUAGGCUUUGAGGGAAGUGAGCACUAGGAGAAGCAGAAGUGUUAGCAACUGUUGUUUCUUGAAUUGGAGGUUGCAUGAAGGGAGAGGAUCUCAGAGUCGAUGAGAGGCUGUGAGUCAGAGCAGGCUGACUCCAUUUGCUGCAACAGAGCCUGUGCUCUCUUGUCCAACUUGUCCUGCUCCCAACCCUGCUGGAACUGCAUGUGAUGAUGCUGAGUUAUUUACCAUGUCUCCUCGGGUAGCCUCCAGAGCUAAUAGAUUUUGUCUUUUGAUAACGUUUCCUACAGACUACAAAAAAUAAACAGCAGAGAUCCCAAUGGAGAGAAAGAAAC